This 252-nucleotide ribosomal RNA is filed under the name uncultured bacterium. RNAcentral's name for it is "partial 16S ribosomal RNA". It matches the Rfam family "Bacterial small subunit ribosomal RNA", at positions 524 to 776 of the family's 1533-position model. The record is from RNAcentral.
UACGGAGGAUGCGAGCGUUAUCCGGAUUUAUUGGGUUUAAAGGGUGCGCAGGCGGCACGGCAAGCCGGCGGUCAAAUCGCGGGGCUCAACCCCGCCCAGCCGUCGGAACUGCCGGGCUAGAGUGGGCGAGAAGUGCGCGGAAUGCGUGGUGUAGCGGUGAAAUGCAUAGAUAUCACGCAGAACUCCGAUUGCGAAGGCAGCACACCGGCGCCCUACUGACGCUCAGGCACGAAAGCGUGGGUAUCGAACAGG